GACGAACCGUACGACCGUUAUUCGGAAUUACUGGGCGUAAAGCGCACGUAGGCGGCUUCUUAAGUCGGAGGUGAAAUCCUGGAGCUCAACUCCAGAACUGCCUUCGAUACUGGGAAGCUCGAGUCCGGGAGAGGUGAGUGGAACUGCGAGUGUAGAGGUGAAAUUCGUAGAUAUUCGCAAGAACACCAGUGGCGAAGGCGGCUCACUGGCCCGGUACUGACGCUGAGGUGCGAAAGCGUGGGGAGCAAACAGG
This 253-nucleotide ribosomal RNA is filed under the name uncultured bacterium. RNAcentral's name for it is "partial 16S ribosomal RNA". It matches the Rfam family "Bacterial small subunit ribosomal RNA", at positions 524 to 776 of the family's 1533-position model. The record is from RNAcentral.